This 497-nucleotide ribosomal RNA is filed under the name uncultured bacterium. RNAcentral's name for it is "partial 16S ribosomal RNA". It matches the Rfam family "Bacterial small subunit ribosomal RNA", at positions 28 to 507 of the family's 1533-position model. The record is from RNAcentral.
GAUGAACGCUGGCGGCGUGCCUAAUACAUGCAAGUCGAGCGAACAGACGAGGAGCUUGCUCCUCUGACGUUAGCGGCGGACGGGCGAGUAACACGUGGAUAACCUACCUAUAAGACUGGGAUAACUUCGGGAAACCGGAGCUAAUACCGGAUAAUAUAUUGAACCGCAUGGUUCAAUAGUGAAAGACGGCUUUGCUGUCACUUAUAGCUGGAUCCGCGUCGCAUUAGCUAGUUGGUAAGGUAACGGCUUACCAAGGCGACGAUGCGUAGCCGACCUGAGAGGAUGAUCGGCCACACUGGAACUGAGACACGGUCCAGACUCCUACGGGAGGCAGCAGUAGGGAAUCUUCCGCAAUGGGCGAAAGCCUGACGGAGCAACGCCGCGUGAGUGAUGAAGGUCUUCGGAUCGUAAAACUCUGUUAUUAGGGAAGAACAAAUGUGUAAGUAACUAUGCACGUCUUGACGGUACCUAAUCAGAAAGCCACGGCUAACUACGUG